GAUGAAGAACGUAGCGAAAUGCGAUAAGUAAUGUGAAUUGCAGAACUCAGUGAAUCAUCGAAUCUUUGAACGCACAUUGCGCCCGCCAGUAUUCUGGCGGGCAUGCCUGUUCGAGCGUCAUUUCAACCCUCAAGCCCUCGGGUUUGGUGUUGGGGAUCGGCGAGCCUUUCUGGCAAGCCGGCCCCGAAAUCUAGUGGCGGUCUCGCUGCAGCCUCCAUUGCGUAGUAGUAAAACCCUCGCAACUGGAACGCGGCGCGGCCAAGCCGUUAAACCCCCAACUUCUGAAUGUUGACCUCGGAUCAGGUAGGAAUACCCGCUGAACUUAAGCAUAUCAAUAAGCGGAGGA
Molecule: unclassified non-coding RNA, 346 nt
Filed under: soil metagenome
Description: partial contains 5.8S ribosomal RNA, internal transcribed spacer 2, and large subunit ribosomal RNA
Rfam family: 5.8S ribosomal RNA (bases 1-120)
Source: RNAcentral